UGAGUGAGAAUAGAGAAGGAGGCCAG
RNAcentral lists this non-coding RNA (26 nucleotides) under Mus musculus (house mouse). Lineage: Eukaryota; Metazoa; Chordata; Mammalia; Rodentia; Muridae. The record is from RNAcentral.